Molecule: ribosomal RNA, 1479 nt
Filed under: Triticum aestivum (bread wheat)
Lineage: Eukaryota; Viridiplantae; Streptophyta; Magnoliopsida; Poales; Poaceae
Description: partial small subunit ribosomal RNA
Source: RNAcentral
AUGGCGAGCUUCAUCGUGGCGGACGCGUCGGAGUACCUGGCCAUCACCGGCUGGGGCAUCAACGACGUGAAGCUGGCUAAGAAGGCGUGGGUGUUCGCGGGGCAGCAGUGCAAGAGGUUCAGCGUCACGCCCGUCAACUACGAGUUCGAGGUGAACGCCAUGAGCUCCGAGAAGCUGCCCUUCGUCCUGCCCGCCGUCUUCACCAUCGGGCCCCAGGUGACCACCCUGAAGCUCGGCGACGCCGCCGAGGCGGCCGUGGAGGCCAAGCUCCUGCUCUACGCCAAGCUCAUCGCGCCGCUGCACCUGGGCGGCGCCUCGGCCAGCCGCGUGCACGACCUGGUGAAGGGCGUGAUCGAGGGCGAGACGCGGGUGCUGGCGGCGCAGCUCACCAUGGACGAGAUCUUCACCGGCACCAAGAUGUUCAAGAAGGAGGUGUUCGACAGCGUGCAGAAGGAGCUGGACCAGUUCGGGCUCUUCAUCUACAACGCCAACGUGAAGCAGCUGGUGGACGUGCCGGGCCACGAGUACUUCUCCUACCUCGGCCAGAAGACGCAGCAGGAGGCGGCCAGCAGGGCCAAGGUGGACGUGGCGGAGGCGAGGAUGAAGGGCAAGGUGGGCGCCAAGGAGCGGACCGGCCUCACGCUCCAGAAUGCCGCCAAGGUGGACGCCGAGACCAAGGUGCUGUCGGUGCGGCAGCAGGGCGAGGCGCUCAAGGAGGAGGCCAAGGUCAAUGCCGAGGUGCAGGUUUUUCAGAACGCCAGGGAGGCCGACGUCGCCGCCGCAAUGACCGACCUCGCCAUGAAGAAGGCCGGCUGGGACCGGCAGGCCAAGGUCGCCGAGGUGGAGGCCGCCAAGGCCGUCGCCAUCCGCGACGCCGAGCUGCAGAUGGAGGUCGAGAUCAAGAACGCCCUCUGCCAGACCGAGAAGCUCAAGGCCGAGCAGCUCAGCAAGGCCACCGUGCAAUAUGACACACAGGUUCAAGAGUCGAAUGCGCUGUUCUACGGCCGGCAGAAGGCGGCGGAGGCGGCUCUGUACGAGGAGAUGAAGGCGGCGGAGGCGCGCAAGGCGCAGGCCGACGCGCUCUUCUUCGAGCAGAAGAUGGCGGAGGACGCCAAGCUGUACGCCAAGCAGCGAGAGGCGGAGGCGCUGUCGCUGGUGGGCAGGGCCAAGGCGGACUACGUGGCGUCCAUGCUGGCGACGCUCGGCGGCGACUACCGCGCGCUCAGGGACUACCUCAUGAUCGACGGCGGCAUGUACGCCGAGAUGGCGCGCAUCAACGCCAGCGCCGUCAACGGCCUGCGGCCAAAGAUCAGCGUCUGGAGCAACGGAGAUGGUGGCGGCGAGGGCGGCGCACUGCAGCAGGUGGCUGGGGUGUACAAGAUGCUCCCGCCGUUGCCGGAGACGGUGCACGAGCAGACCGGGAUGUUGCCGCCGGCGUGGAUGGGCACGCUGUCCAAGGACGGCGCCGCCGCCAACUGA